This 468-nucleotide ribosomal RNA is filed under the name uncultured bacterium. Its description in RNAcentral is "partial 16S ribosomal RNA". It matches the Rfam family "Bacterial small subunit ribosomal RNA", at positions 28 to 507 of the family's 1533-position model. The record is from RNAcentral.
GACGAACGCUGGCGGCGUGCUUAACACAUGCAAGUCGAACGGAAAGGCCCUGCUUUUGUGGGGUGCUCGAGUGGCGAACGGGCGAGUAACACGUGAGUAACCUGCCCUUGACUUUGGGAUAACUUCAGGAAACUGGGGCUAAUGCCGGAUAGGAGCUCCUGCUGCAUGGUGGGGGUUGGAAAGUUUCGGCGGUUGGGGAUGGACUCGCGGCUUAUCAGCUUGUUGGUGGGGUAGUGGCUUACCAAGGCUUUGACGGGUAGCCGGCCUGAGAGGGUGACCGGCCACAUUGGGACUGAGAUACGGCCCAGACUCCUACGGGAGGCAGCAGUGGGGAAUAUUGCACAAUGGGCGGAAGCCUGAUGCAGCAACGCCGCGUGCGGGAUGACGGCCUUCGGGUUGUAAACCGCUUUCGCCUGUGACGAAGCGUGAGUGACGGUAAUGGGUAAAGAAGCACCGGCUAACUACGUG